Molecule: long non-coding RNA, 535 nt
Filed under: Bos indicus x Bos taurus (hybrid cattle)
Lineage: Eukaryota; Metazoa; Chordata; Mammalia; Artiodactyla; Bovidae
Description: lncRNA (ENSBIXG00005023066.1)
Source: RNAcentral
GUGCACACCAUGCCCAGCUCUCCAAGGCUACUUGGUGAGUGUUUGAAUGGUUAGCCUCAGCAGUACCGUGAGAGGGGGCCACCAUCCCAUGUUGCAACAGGAGAUUACGAGGGGCUUAUGUCUCAGUCUACUCCAUGGCUUCUCACACGAUGACUCACUGGACAAGAACACUAGAACAUCAUCAUUUGCCAGAGCAAAGGAGGCUCUGUGGAGGUUCCAGGAAAAGCGCCAGUCCUCAAUUGCUGCUGUUCUCUCUAGCCUGUCCUAGGUUGGAAGCCUUUGAGGAGUUUGGGUAGAAUCACUGAAAUCCAAGUGAUCCCACUAUGUAAAUCCCUCCCUUAGUGUGGGAGAGAGAAUUUUAUUCUCAACCCUCCAAUUAGUUGUGGCCAUUCAGGACUUGUUUACAAAUGAUAGUUGGAGGAGAUACUGACCUAGUACACAGUCAUUUUCUGUACUACAGCUGUUGCUGUAAUCAUUAUCUUUAGAAGGCCGAUGAUUGCUAAAUACAACAAUAAACAUUCUUAAUAUCUUGACA